GAUGAACGCUGGCGGCGUGCCUAAUACAUGCAAGUCGAGCGAACAGAUGAGGAGCUUGCUCCUCUGACGUUAGCGGCGGACGGGUGAGUAACACGUGGAUAACCUACCUAUAAGACUGGGAUAACUUCGGGAAACCGGAUCUAAUACCGGAUAAUAUAUUGAACCGCAUGGUUCAUUAGUGAAAGACGGUUUUGCUGUCACUUAUAGAUGUAUCCGCGCCGCAUUAGCUAGUUGGUAAGGUAACGGCUUACCAAGGCAACGAUGCGUAGCCGACCUGAGAGGGUGAUCGGCCACACUGGAACUGAGACACGGUCCAGACUCCUACGGGAGGCAGCAGUAGGGAAUCUUCCGCAAUGGGCGAAAGCCUGACGGAGCAACGCCGCGUGAGUGAUGAAGGUCUUCGGAUCGUAAAACUCUGUUAUUAGGGAAGAACAAAUGUGUAAGUAAAUAUGCACGUCUUGACGGUACCUAAUCAGAAAGCCACGGCUAACUACGUG
This 497-nucleotide ribosomal RNA is filed under the name uncultured bacterium. RNAcentral describes it as "partial 16S ribosomal RNA". It matches the Rfam family "Bacterial small subunit ribosomal RNA", at positions 28 to 507 of the family's 1533-position model. The record is from RNAcentral.